AACGCGAAGAACCUUACCUGGGCUCGAAGCGCAGUGGAAUCCGGUGGAAACAUCGGCGCCCCUUAAAAGGCUGCUGCGGAGGUGCUGCAUGGCUGUCGUCAGCUCGUGUCGUGAGAUGUUGGGUUAAGUCCCGCAACGAGCGCAACCCUUAUCGUUAGUUGCCAGCGAGUCAAGUCGGGCACUCUAGCGAAACCGCCCCGGAUAACGGGGAGGAAGGUGGGGAUGACGUCAAGUCCUCAUGGCCUUUAUGUCCAGGGCUACACACGUGCUACAAUGGUCGGUACAAACCGUCGCAAACCUGCGAAGGGGAGCUAAUCGGAAAAAGCCGGCCUCAGUUCGGAUUGGAGUCUGCAACCCGACUCCAUGAAGCUGGAAUCGCUAGUAACGGUAGGUCAGCACUACUACCGUGAAUACGUUCCCGGGCCUUGUACACACCGCGAGC
Molecule: ribosomal RNA, 442 nt
Filed under: uncultured bacterium
Lineage: Bacteria
Description: bacterial SSU rRNA
Rfam family: Bacterial small subunit ribosomal RNA
Source: RNAcentral